AGAACAAUUUUUAAACAGAUAAUCAAUCGCUAUAAAAUAGAACUAUCUAUAUUACUCCUAGUGUGGGAAAUUUACACACAUCUAAAGUGCAAAGUUAUGGAAUUUCCUUCUUUUUACAUCCAAUAUCCUACUA
This is a long non-coding RNA of Etheostoma cragini (Arkansas darter), 133 nucleotides long. RefSeq lists it as uncharacterized. The transcript is spliced from 3 exons. Lineage: Eukaryota; Metazoa; Chordata; Actinopteri; Perciformes; Percidae. The record is from RefSeq and is a predicted model, not a curated record.